RNAcentral lists this ribosomal RNA (253 nucleotides) under uncultured bacterium. RNAcentral describes it as "partial 16S ribosomal RNA". It matches the Rfam family "Bacterial small subunit ribosomal RNA", at positions 524 to 776 of the family's 1533-position model. The record is from RNAcentral.
UACGUAGGGGGCGAGCGUUAAUCGGAAUUACUGGGCGUAAAGCGCACGCAGGCGGCUCUUCAAGUCAGAUGUGAAAGCCCCGGGCUUAACCUCGGAACUGCGUUUGAAACUGGACGGCUCGAGUGUGGAAGAGGGAGGUGGAAUUCCUCGUGUAGAAGUGAAAUGCGUAGAGAUGAGGAGGAACACCGAUGGCGAAGGCAGCCUCCUGGGCCAACACUGACGAUCAUGCACGAAAGCGUGGGGAGCAAACAGG